RNAcentral lists this unclassified non-coding RNA (588 nucleotides) under Hevea brasiliensis (rubber tree). The record is from RNAcentral. Lineage: Eukaryota; Viridiplantae; Streptophyta; Magnoliopsida; Malpighiales; Euphorbiaceae.
AAGUAAUCAGCUGGCGGAACUACGCCGACACCAACAGCAGAGCCUGGGAAGAAUCCCCAGUUCGGGUACUGUGGCACUGGGGUGAAACCGCCCCAAUUCGGCCUCCAGCCGGGAGCCGGCGCCCGAUUGCCGUAGCUAUUGUUGGAGCGGGGGCUGCCGUUGCCGCCACCGCCACCGCCGCCCCUGUGGUUCUGGAACCUCGGGUUCCUGCCGCGCCGGUGGUGCGAGGCGGAGAUCCUGGGCUGGUCGGCAUUGCGAGGGGACACCGGCAGGACUGGGGCCGGAGCGGGAGGCGGCACCGCCGGGGAUACAGCCACCGCCGCGGCGACUGUCACCGCCACCGCGUCGUCAUGGGAUGAGGGAUCGGAGGAAGAUGAGGCGGAGGAGGAGAAGAGAUCGGGGGUGGUGUUAGGGCUGUCAGCGGCGGCGGGCGGAGGAGAGGGGCUGUGGUGAUGAGGUGGAUGAUCGGGGGAUUCCAGCUUAGGGUUUGGGUUUGAGGUGAGCGCAGGCCAGGAGGAGGGGGGCUCGCCGAUGAGGGUGAGGGCGGUGGGAGCAGCGGCGGCAGGGCAGGGGGUGAUGCGCCAGGGG